UGAGGAAUAUUGGUCAAUGGGCGCAAGCCUGAACCAGCCAUCCCGCGUGCAGGAAGACGGCCCUAUGGGUUGUAAACUGCUUUUCCAGGGAGAGAAACUUACGCACGUGUUGCGUGACUGACGGUACCCUGGGAAUAAGCAUCGGCUAACUCCGUGCCAGCAGCCGCGGUAAUACGGAGGAUGCAAGCGUUAUCCGGAUUCAUUGGGUUUAAAGGGUGCGUAGGCGGGCUAUUAAGUCAGUGGUGAAAUCCUGCAGCUUAACUGCAGAACUGCCGUUGAUACUGAUAGUCUUGAGUUUGGUUAAGGUAGGCGGAAUGUGUAAUGUAGCGGUGAAAUGCUUAGAUAUUACACAGAACACCAAUUGCGUAGGCAGCUUACUGAGCCGACACUGACGCUGAGGCACGAAAGCGUGGGGAUCAAACAGG
Molecule: ribosomal RNA, 425 nt
Filed under: uncultured bacterium
Lineage: Bacteria
Description: bacterial SSU rRNA
Rfam family: Bacterial small subunit ribosomal RNA
Source: RNAcentral